Molecule: ribosomal RNA, 551 nt
Filed under: uncultured fungus
Lineage: Eukaryota; Fungi
Description: eukaryotic LSU rRNA
Rfam family: 5.8S ribosomal RNA (bases 186-339)
Source: RNAcentral
AAGUCGUAACAAGGUCUCCGUUGGUGAACCAGCGGAGGGAUCAUUACUGAGUACUACACUCUCUACCCUUUGUGAACUAUUAUACCUGUUGCUUCGGCGGCGCCCGCAAGGGUGCCCGCCGGUCUCAUCAGAAUCUCUGUUUUCGAACCCGACGAUACUUCUGAGUGUUCUUAGCGAACUGUCAAAACUUUUAACAACGGAUCUCUUGGCUCCAGCAUCGAUGAAGUACGCAGCGAAACGCGAUAUGUAAUGUGAAUUGCAGAAUUCAGUGAAUCACCGAAUCUUUGAACGCACAUGGCGCCUUCCAGUAUCCUGGGAGGCAUGCCUGUCCGAGCGUCGUUUCAACCCUCGAGCCCCUGUGGCCCGGCGUUGGGGAUCUGCCACGGCAGGCCCCUAAAACCAGUGGCGGACCCGAAGGGCCCUCUCCUUUGCGCAGUAGCAUUCGCCUCGCAUCGGGAGUCCUCGGCGUCCUGCCUCUAAACCCCCCACAAGCCCGCUUCGGCGGCACCAAGGUUGACCUCGGAUCAGGUAGGAAUACCCGCUGAACUUAA